Molecule: ribosomal RNA, 486 nt
Filed under: uncultured Oscillospiraceae bacterium
Lineage: Bacteria; Bacillati; Bacillota; Clostridia; Eubacteriales; Oscillospiraceae
Description: bacterial SSU rRNA
Rfam family: Bacterial small subunit ribosomal RNA
Source: RNAcentral
GAAUUGACGGGGGCCCGCACAAGCAGCGGAGCGUGUGGUUUAAUUCGAAGCAACGCGAAGAACCUUACCAGGUCUUGACAUCCUCUGGAGUAUGCAGAAAUGCAUACGCCUUAUCGAAAGAUAAGGCAGAGAGACAGGUGGUGCAUGGUUGUCGUCCGCUCGUGUCGUGAGAUGUUGGGUUAAGUCCCGCAACGAGCGCAACCCUCGUUAAUAGUUGCUACGGUAAGAGCACUCUAUUAAGACUGCCGUUGAUAAAACGGAGGAAGGUGGGGAUGACGUCAAGUCAUCAUGCCCCUUAUGACCUGGGCUACACACGUACUACAAUGGCCGCAAACAGAGGGCAGCGAAGCCGCGAGGCGGAGCGAAUCCCAAAAAGCGGUCCCAGUUCAGAUUGCAGGCUGCAACCCGCCUGCAUGAAGACGGAAUUGCUAGUAAUCGCGGAUCAGCAUGCCGCGGUGAAUACGUUCCCGGGCCUUGUACACACCG